UGGAUCCAGACUUUGAUCAUGGCUCAGGACGAACGCUGGCGGCGCGCCUAACACAUGCAAGUCGAACGAGAGAUGAGGAGCUUGCUCUUCAAAUCGAGUGGCGAACGGGUGAGUAACGCGUGAGGAACCUGCCUCAAAGAGGGGGACAACGGUUGGAAACGACUGCUAAUACCGCAUAAGCCCACGGCUCGGCAUCGAGCAGAGGGAAAAGGAGUGAUCCGCUUUGAGAUGGCCUCGCGUCCGAUUAGCUGGUUGGUGAGGUAACGGCCCACCAAGGCGACGAUCGGUAGCCGGACUGAGAGGUUGAACGGCCACAUUGGGACUGAGACACGGCCCAGACUCCUACGGGAGGCAGCAGUGGGGAAUAUUGCACAAUGGGGGAAACCCUGAUGCAGCGACGCCGCGUGGAGGAAGAAGGUCUUCGGAUUGUAAACUCCUGUUGUUGAGGAAGAUAAUGACGGUACUCAACAAGGAAGUGACGGCUAACUACGUGCCAGCAGCCGCGGUAAAACGUAGGUCACAAGCGUUGUCCGGAAUUACUGGGUGUAAAGGGAGCGCAGGCGGGAGAACAAGUUGGAAGUGAAAUCCAUGGGCUCAACCCAUGAACUGCUUUCAAAACUGUUUUUCUUGAGUAGUGCAGAGGUAGGCGGAAUUCCCGGUGUAGCGGUGGAAUGCGUAGAUAUCGGGAGGAACACCAGUGGCGAAGGCGGCCUACUGGGCACCAACUGACGCUGAGGCUCGAAAGUGUGGGUAGCAAACAGGAUUAGAUACCCUGGUAGUCCACACCGUAAACGAUGAUUACUAGGUGUUCGAGGAUUGACCCCUUCAGUGCCGCAGUUAACACAAUAAGUAAUCCACCUGGGGAGUACGACCGCAAGGUUGCAACUCAAAGGAAUUGACGGA
This 903-nucleotide ribosomal RNA is filed under the name uncultured organism. RNAcentral's name for it is "bacterial SSU rRNA". It matches the Rfam family "Bacterial small subunit ribosomal RNA", at positions 1 to 917 of the family's 1533-position model. The record is from RNAcentral.